Molecule: ribosomal RNA, 351 nt
Filed under: uncultured bacterium
Lineage: Bacteria
Description: bacterial SSU rRNA
Rfam family: Bacterial small subunit ribosomal RNA
Source: RNAcentral
AACGAACGCUGGCGGCGCGCCUAACACAUGCAAGUCGAACGAGAAGCUGUAGCAAUACAGUUGUACAGUGGCGAACGGGUGAGGAAUACAUGGGUGACCUACCCUCGAGUGGGGAAUAACCAGCCGAAAGGUUGGCUAAUACCGCGUACGUUUCCCAGUCUGCGGAUUGGGAAGGAAAGCGAUGCCGUGGGUAUCGCGCUCAAGGUUGGGCUCAUGUCCUAUCAGCUUGNGGUGAGGUAACGGCUCACCAAGGCAACGACGGGUAGCUGGUCUGAGAGGACGAUCAGCCACACUGGCACUGCGACACGGGCCAGACUCCUACGGGAGGCAGCAGUGAGGAAUAUUGCGCAA